ACUGAUAUCUUUCAUUUUUAAAAAAAAAGCAUGAAUAGAGUAUAACCGAUCAACGUCCUUGACGCAUAUAUCAGCGUCCAAGUCGUCGUCUUCCAAAAGAUGUGAAAAAACCGUCAAAAAAGGUGUAAACGGACAAUAAAGAAACAGCCAAAGAUAACAAAUAUUUUUUGAAAUAGGAUCAAGAACCACCAAAAAUCCCUUAAUAACGUCAAUAGCUGCUCUAGCCGUGCUUAAACAAAUUUUUGAUCCUUCAAUGCUAUCGUCCGCGAGAUAUAAAUAAAUAAGUGUAUUGCAAUAUGACA
This is a non-coding RNA of Schizosaccharomyces pombe (fission yeast), 302 nucleotides long. The record is from the annotation of a GenBank genome assembly. NCBI's taxonomy places the organism in Eukaryota, Fungi, Ascomycota, Schizosaccharomycetes, Schizosaccharomycetales, Schizosaccharomycetaceae.